Molecule: ribosomal RNA, 1050 nt
Filed under: Argemone-Cactus male plant phytoplasma
Lineage: Bacteria; Bacillati; Mycoplasmatota; Mollicutes; Acholeplasmatales; Acholeplasmataceae
Description: bacterial SSU rRNA
Rfam family: Bacterial small subunit ribosomal RNA
Source: RNAcentral
UAAAGGCCUACCAAGACUAUGAUGUGUAGCCGGGCUGAGAGGUUGAACGGCCACAUUGGGACUGAGACACGGCCCAAACUCCUACGGGAGGCAGCAGUAGGGAAUUUUCGGCAAUGGAGGAAACUCUGACCGAGCAACGCCGCGUGAACGAUGAAGUAUUUCGGUACGUAAAGUUCUUUUAUUAGGGAAGAAUAAAUGAUGGAAAAAUCAUUCUGACGGUACCUAAUGAAUAAGCCCCGGCUAACUAUGUGCCAGCAGCCGCGGUAAUACAUAGGGGGCAAGCGUUAUCCGGAAUUAUUGGGCGUAAAGGGUGCGUAGGCGGUUAAAUAAGUUUAUGGUCUAAGUGCAAUGCUCAACAUUGUGAUGCUAUAAAAACUGUUUAGCUAGAGUAAGAUAGAGGCAAGUGGAAUUCCAUGUGUAGUGGUAAAAUGCGUAAAUAUAUGGAGGAACACCAGUAGCGAAGGCGGCUUGCUGGGUCUUUACUGACGCUGAGGCACGAAAGCGUGGGGAGCAAACAGGAUUAGAUACCCUGGUAGUCCACGCCGUAAACGAUGAGUACUAAACGUUGGGUAAAACCAGUGUUGAAGUUAACACAUUAAGUACUCCGCCUGAGUAGUACGUACGCAAGUAUGAAACUUAAAGGAAUUGACGGGACUCCGCACAAGCGGUGGAUCAUGUUGUUUAAUUCGAAGGUACCCGAAAAACCUCACCAGGUCUUGACAUGCUUCUGCAAAGCUGUAGAAACACAGUGGAGGUUAUCAGUUGCACAGGUGGUGCAUGGUUGUCGUCAGCUCGUGUCGUGAGAUGUUGGGUUAAGUCCCGCAACGAGCGCAACCCUUAUUGUUAGUUACCAGCACGUAAUGGUGGGGACUUUAGCAAGACUGCCAGUGAUAAAUUGGAGGAAGGUGGGGACGACGUCAAAUCAUCAUGCCCCUUAUGACCUGGGCUACAAACGUGAUACAAUGGCUGUUACAAAGGGUAGCUGAAGCGCAAGUUUUUGGCGAAUCUCAAAAAAACAGUCUCAGUUCGGAUUGAAGUCUGCAACUCGAC